Molecule: ribosomal RNA, 562 nt
Filed under: Helotiales sp. OTU34 TS-2013
Lineage: Eukaryota; Fungi; Ascomycota; Leotiomycetes; Helotiales
Description: eukaryotic LSU rRNA
Rfam family: Eukaryotic large subunit ribosomal RNA
Source: RNAcentral
AAACCAACAGGGAUUNCCUCAGUAACGGCGAGUGAAGCGGUAACAGCUCAAAUUUGAAAGCUGCCAACAGGCCGCGUUGUAAUUUGUAGAAGCUGCUUUGGGUAUUGGCCCGGUCUAAGUUCCUUGGAACAGGACGUCAUAGAGGGUGAGAAUCCCGUAUGUGAUCGGUGCCGGCGCCCGUGUAAAGCGCUUUCGACGAGUCGAGUUGUUUGGGAAUGCAGCUCAAAAUGGGUGGUAAAUUUCAUCUAAAGCUAAAUAUUGGCCAGAGACCGAUAGCGCACAAGUAGAGUGAUCGAAAGAUGAAAAGCACUUUGGAAAGAGAGUUAAACAGUACGUGAAAUUGUUGAAAGGGAAGCGCUUGCAACCAGACUUGCGGGCGGUCGAUCAUCCGAGGUUCUCCCCGGUGCACUCGAUCGUUCUCAGGCCAGCAUCGGUUUCCGGGGUGGGAUAAAGACGGUGGGAAUGUGGCUCUUCGGAGUGUUAUAGCCCACCGUGCAAUGCCGCCACCGGGGACCGAGGACCGCGCUUCGGCUAGGAUGCUGGCGUAAUGGUUGUAAGCGAC